AGGGGACAAACGGGGGCAUUCGUAUUGCGGCGUUAGAGGUGAAAUUCUUGGAUCGCCGCAAGACGGGCUACUGCGAAAGCAUUUGUCAAGAAUGUUUUCAUUAAUCAAGAACGAAAGUCAGAGGCGCGAAGACGAUCAGAUACCGUCGUAGUUCUGACCAUAAACGAUGCCGACCGGCGAUCCGCGGGAGUUGAUUCGAUGACUCCGCGGGCGGCCUCCGGGAAACCUGAGUCUNNNNNGAGCCUGCGGCUUAUUUGACUCAACACGGGAAAACUCACCCGGUCCGGACCCGCGACGAUUGACAGAUUGACAGCUCUUUCUUGAUUCGGUGGCUGGUGGUGCAUGGCCGUUCUUAGUUGGUGGAGCGAUUUGUCUGGAUGAUUCCGAUAAC
This 391-nucleotide ribosomal RNA is filed under the name Rostanga calumus. RNAcentral describes it as "SSU rRNA". It matches the Rfam family "Eukaryotic small subunit ribosomal RNA", at positions 873 to 1332 of the family's 1831-position model. Lineage: Eukaryota; Metazoa; Mollusca; Gastropoda; Nudibranchia; Dorididae. The record is from RNAcentral.